GCCUUAGUGGUGGAACGGUAUACACGCUGGCUUCAAACUCCAGUGCCGAAAGGAUUGGGAGUUCGAAUCUCCCCUAAGGCA
This 81-nucleotide transfer RNA is filed under the name Synechococcus phage S-CBWM1. It matches the Rfam family "tRNA". From Rfam's summary of the family: Transfer RNA (tRNA) molecules are approximately 80 nucleotides in length. Their secondary structure includes four short double-helical elements and three loops (D, anti-codon, and T loops). Further hydrogen bonds mediate the characteristic L-shaped molecular structure. tRNAs have two regions of fundamental functional importance: the anti-codon, which is responsible for specific mRNA codon recognition, and the 3' end, to which the tRNAs corresponding amino acid is attached (by aminoacyl-tRNA synthetases). tRNAs cope with the degeneracy of the genetic code in two manners: having more than one tRNA (with a specific anti-codon) for a particular amino acid; and 'wobble' base-pairing, i.e. permitting non-standard base-pairing at the 3rd anti-codon position. The record is from Rfam by way of RNAcentral. Lineage: Duplodnaviria; Heunggongvirae; Uroviricota; Caudoviricetes.